Molecule: long non-coding RNA, 557 nt
Organism: Amblyraja radiata (thorny skate)
Lineage: Eukaryota; Metazoa; Chordata; Chondrichthyes; Rajiformes; Rajidae
Exons: 5
Source: RefSeq, a predicted model, not a curated record
CAACAAACUGAUCUGUUUUAUUUGUGCAACUGUGAAGGAACACAAGUCUCACAGCUUAACGCUGAUAGAAGAAGCAAUUGAAUUCUACAAGGAACAGGUGAAAUCUUCUUUCGAAUCUCUCACAAAAAAGGAAUCAGAGAUCCAGAAAAUGGAGCAGGAACAGAAAGGGGGCAUUUCUGGAGUUCAGGAAGGGUCACACAACCUUCAGUCACUGAUCACAUCCCAGUUUGCUGAAAUGCACCAGAUUCUCACUGAUAAAGAGGAGCGCUUGCUCUGAGAUGUCCGGGAAGAAGAGGAGAAGAUUGUAAAAACAAUGGAGAAAAAUCUUCAAGAGGUACAAAAUAAUUUAAAUUCCAUUCGGGAGGAACUCUCAAAGCUACAGGAACAGAUAGACCUCAAGGACGACCUGAUAUUUCUGAAGGAGGAAGCUGGUCGCAACACAUGGGUUUGUGAUGAAGCCAAACCAAUGUCGGUGGUGGAUGGCGCGCUGCCAAUUGAAAAGUUUGAUCACACCUUUUUCUUCAACAUUGCAUUGAAAGAACAUUUUGAUAUAAUCA